AACCAACAGGGAUUGCCCUAGUAACGGCGAGUGAAGCGGCAACAGCUCAAAUUUGAAAUCUGGCUCCUUUGGGGCCCGAGUUGUAAUUUGUAGAGGGUGCUUUGGCGUUGGCCAUGGUCUAAGUUCCUUGGAACAGGACGUCACAGAGGGUGAGAAUCCCGUACGUGGCCGCUGGCCUUCGCCAUGUAAAGCCCCUUCGACGAGUCGAGUUGUUUGGGAAUGCAGCUCUAAAUGGGAGGUAAAUUUCUUCUAAAGCUAAAUAUUGGCCAGAGACCGAUAGCGCACAAGUAGAGUGAUCGAAAGAUGAAAAGCACUUUGGAAAGAGAGUCAAAAAGCACGUGAAAUUGUUGAAAGGGAAGCGCUUGCAGCCAGACUUGCCCGUAGUUGCUCAUCCAGGUUUCGGCCUGGUGCACUCUUCUGCGGGCAGGCCAGCAUCAGUCCAGGCGGUCGGAUAAAGGUCCCGGGAAUGUGGCUCUCUUCGGGGAGUGUUAUAGCCCGGGGCGUAAUGCGGCCAGCUUGGACUGAGGUCCGCGCAUUUGCUAGGAUGCUGGCGUAAUGGCUGUAAGCGGCCCGUCUUGAAACACGGACCAAGGAGUCUAACAUCUAUGCGAGUGUUUGGGUGUCAAGCCCGAGCGCGCAAUGAAAGUGAACGGAGGUGGGAACCCGUAAGGGCGCACCAUCGACCGAUCCUGAUGUCUUCGGAUGGAUUUGAGUAAGAGCAUAGCUGUUGGGACCCGAAAGAUGGUGAACUAUGCCUGAAUAGGGUGAAGCCAGAGGAAACUCUGGUGGAGGCUCGCAGCGGUUCUGACGUGCAAAUCGAUCGUCAAAUUUGGGCAUAGGGGCGAAAGACUAAUCGAACUAUCUAGU
This 867-nucleotide ribosomal RNA is filed under the name Hongkongmyces aquaticus. RNAcentral's name for it is "Hongkongmyces sp. WD-2020a partial large subunit ribosomal RNA". It matches the Rfam family "Eukaryotic large subunit ribosomal RNA", at positions 63 to 948 of the family's 3401-position model. Lineage: Eukaryota; Fungi; Ascomycota; Dothideomycetes; Pleosporales; Lindgomycetaceae. The record is from RNAcentral.